Picea glauca (white spruce) is the source of this 88-nucleotide non-coding RNA. The record is from Rfam. Lineage: Eukaryota; Viridiplantae; Streptophyta; Pinopsida; Pinales; Pinaceae.
AAUUAGUGGUGUGCAUGAAUGGAUUAACAAGAUUCCCACUAUCCCUAGCUACUAUCUAGAGAAACCAUAGCCAAGGAAAUGGACUUGG